This 77-nucleotide transfer RNA is filed under the name Clostridia bacterium. RNAcentral's name for it is "tRNA-Arg". It matches the Rfam family "tRNA". Rfam says of the family: Transfer RNA (tRNA) molecules are approximately 80 nucleotides in length. Their secondary structure includes four short double-helical elements and three loops (D, anti-codon, and T loops). Lineage: Bacteria; Bacillati; Bacillota; Clostridia. The record is from RNAcentral.
GCGCCUGUAGCUCAGCUGGAUAGAGCGGCCGCCUCCUAAGCGGCAGGUCGAGUGUUCGAAUCACUUCAGGUGCGCCA